Molecule: long non-coding RNA, 3353 nt
Organism: Ixodes scapularis (black-legged tick)
Lineage: Eukaryota; Metazoa; Arthropoda; Arachnida; Ixodida; Ixodidae
Exons: 2
Source: RefSeq, a predicted model, not a curated record
ACGGCCACCUGCGAGGACGGCGCACGGAGCCGGCGAUGCGUGAGUGCACCGUUUUUUUUUUUAAUCACAGACUAACAAAAUGUAGCUAUUGUCGAGGGAACGUUGGACCAUGUAGACAUAAUCGAGGCAACAUGUUUUCACACUACAUAUAGGACGUAGUUUAAGCUUAGGCUAGUAGUAAAUGAGCGUGCAUUUUCUUUUUUGUCGCCAAGAAAAAAAAAUGCUUUAUUGUCUUGGCGCUAAUAAAGAAAAGGCCUAACUAGGGCUCCAUUUCUCUUAGCUAUAUUAUGAGGUCUUUCUCUAUAUUGGAUAGCUUUUUCGUGUUGCGAGGGACUUACGGUUUAGCUUUUAUCGGCGUAGUUUCAUUCGGGUUAGGGCUUAAAGAAACGAUUUUUCCUUAGCCUUUAUAUGUGCGAGUUAAGAUGAGGUAGGUAAAUGCUCGAUGCGAUACGAUCGGAGGAUCUCGAAGUGUGCGUCGUAUUUUUUGGUGGGAGGCUUUUUUUUUCCUCGGCUAGUCAGUGUAGCGAUUUCUUAGGCAGGGGGUUGUUUUUGAAAUCAGACUAGCUCUUCGCAACAUGGAGAGAUCCCGAGAUUUGCUAUUGCGUAGAAAAAGAGUCCAACUCUAUAUUUAUAUAUUUAGCUACACGUAAACUAUACACUAUACACUUUCACUCCAUCUACACCUACAAAACGUUUGUAUUAGCCAGGCUAGCCAGUCGAUCUCGGAGUUUUGGUUUUCCGACUCGAUUUUUUGGGUAGCACGAGGGUUCCGCCUAGCGAGGAUGUUUGCGCGUCUUUUUAUAGGCACGUCGUAGCUGCGUCGAUACUUUGCAUUAAUUGAAAAAGGAAUGUGAUCCAUUCGAAGCCAAUUUCUCUGCUCGUUUUUAACUAAACUGGCUUGGAAAUUGAAGCACGGUCAGAUUGGAUCGCAAGUCCGCUCCACACAUUGGCCACGUUUACAUGGAUGCGAAUCGGAUUCAUGUAAAGUCGGCCCUUGAUUAACGUAUUUGUUUACUCCAUCGAAGAUAGGCUGUCUAGCAUUUUUCUCUCUAGAUGAACGCGGUGGUAGGCAGGUAAAUGUCUCUCGACGCACUCUGCCAGUGCUCUCCAGCGUACGUCGUAAAUCGGGGGUGGGUUAACUGUGUUAGGUAGCUUUCCAUGAGGCAGGUGAAAAAAAAAAAUGGGGUUAGCUUCUUCGUACGUUUUUAGUGGGGAUGUAUUGGAGAGUGCGUCUAACCUCGUAUAGGGUCCGCCGCUUUUUGGGAUAACUUAGCCCCGGUGUUUUACACGGUUAGUUCCAACCUCUAGCUUGUUACACAAAUUAACGCACACCCUACACUCACAUCUCCCCACUACAUUGGACACUUUAUUUUCUUAGUGUUUUUAGCUUAGAGGACACUCUCUCUGACGUAGGACGGUCAAUGCAUUUAACUGUGUCCCAAUAGAGUGAUGGAAAAAAGACAAUUGCAAGUGUAAGUUUCUGACGCUCGACCGUUGUCAUAGCAUUAUCUUGUUUUUGUCUUUUUCCUUGGUGUCCGUUGCUCUGGAGGGACGCUUUAAAAGGCAAACGACAACCAAAGGACCUUAGAGGAUGUGCGCACGGGUUACGAAUGACCACGCGUUUCAAAAACGUUGUUUAUUUACUACUCUUUUUUUUCUACACACUGACCUAAUUGGGGAUUUUGCCGCGGCAGGUGAAAACUUUUUUUACUCUGAUUUGGACCGUUAGCUGCCGCGGCAUUAGGGGGAUCUGUCUGUAGGGCUAGCAAACUGAUGGUGAGGUAGGAGUAGGGUAGAUGGGGAAAAUGGUCAUCGAAUUGCCCGAGUGUACGUCCUACCCAAAUGGCUCACUAGCUUAGAGUAGUUAGGGGCUCUGUAUAGCUUGCAAUUAUUUUUGCGAGGCAGCGAACGUACUGCUGGUGAGAGUUGCGUUCCUAGCUAUGCUAGGGUGUGUGUCUCACCUCUGGUUAGGAGUAAUUUCUACUUGCCAUCUACCCGUUUCUCAGCAAACGAGUGAUGGUAAAUGCACUACCGCCAGGAAGAGAUACAAAUACCACUAGUUGAUUUCAUGUUGAAUAUGCGCAUAAAGUUGUCGACAAAUGCCACCGGCACGCGCUCUUCUGUACGGGAGGCGAUUGUGCAUGUCGCAUAUGUCAGUAGGUUAAAAGUAACUUCUGACAAUGACUAGCCCGGGGAUACGUGGGACCAGUUUGACACAAUGCUGUCGAAUUCGUCUCUGCGUUUAACGAGAAUACUUUGCUAUAGUGAUAGGCAUAUAAUGACAUGAUUUUGACUGGGGAUUUUGUUGAGACUUCAGGUGGUUAAAGGUGUCCGUUCUUAGUUUCAGAGGGUUGGGCAUGUCGCACACCUUCUAAUGCAUUGACCGUCAUUUCACGGGCAAACGGGAGCCUGAGCUGUUUUUUUGGCGCGUUAGAGAGUGUGGUGUCAGGGUUUCGCCGUUAGUCGGUUAGGUUGUGUGUAUCUUUCUGUCCCCCAUGUAGAGAUGUAUUAGCUAAUUGACCGCAGUGCCCGAAGCCGUUUCUGUUUUCGACCAUUGGCCCUUAAUGAUGUCUAUAGAGAAAAUUGUGUGUGCUAGCGUCGACAGGAACGUAGCAUGGUCAGGGUGUUGCGGUCAUUCCAACACACCAGGGGGUUGGGUGUGUGGUAUAAGGUUAGGCUAUCUAGACUGUGUCCCGUGUUUUCCGUAGCUGACAUUAGGUAGGUAAUUGCUACCCCAGAGGCGAUUUUGCUCGUUGGGAUAAACUCUCGUAAAAGCAGAGCCCCCUUUGAGCAUCGCAUAAGCGCGUGAGGGACAAAAAAAACUGGAUGUGGAUUGGAGUGGAGGUGGUUGGCCAGCUUUUAGCUCUUUUUUUUUACAAAAUAUACGACACGAAAGCGGUGUAUCUCAUACUGAAGUUGUUGUUAACCCAGAGGCGAUUUUUGCUCGUUGGGAUAAACUCUCGUAAAAGCAGAGCCCCCUUUGAGCAUCGCAUAAGCGCGUGAGGGACAAAAAAAACUGGAUGUGGAUUGGAGUGGAGGUGGUUGGCAAGCUUUUAGCUCUUUUUUUACAAAAUGUACGACACGAAAGCGGUGUAUCUCAUACUGAAGUUGUUGUUUAACGACGAUUGUGCCCGCUUGUUGGCCAUGAAUGGCGUGUGCGUCUAUCCCGAGACGAUAUGGAACACGGAGCCCCAACUUUAUUGCCUCGAGUGCGGUCACAGUUAUACGGACUUGCUGGGCGAUUGGGGUAACUUUAAAAAGAAGUUGGCGUCAAAGAUUCGAGAACACGAUGCGGUCAACUCUGACUGCAGUUAUCGAGAAAAGCGAAUAAAUAAAUAAAUAAUUGAUCUUUA